Molecule: ribosomal RNA, 570 nt
Filed under: uncultured bacterium
Lineage: Bacteria
Description: bacterial SSU rRNA
Rfam family: Bacterial small subunit ribosomal RNA
Source: RNAcentral
AAUCCGCUUACGUCCUAGGGUAGAAACCAGGGGACCUUUGGCCUUAGCGUUUCAUAUGACCCUAGUUGGAUAAUUUAGUUGGGAAGUAAAGGGUUCACCAAGGGGGACGAUCCGAAAUUCAUUUAAAGGAUGGUCAAUUCGCAAUGGAAUUUCCACACGGUCCCAGACUCCUUUGGGAGGCAUCAGUGGGGCAAUUUUUGUCCGAGGGGGGAAAGCCUCAUUUCAGCAUACCCGCGGGUUUGAAGAAGGUCUUUGGAUUGGAAAACCACUUUAAAGUGGGGAGGAAGAGGCAUUAACAUAAUUUGUUAUUGUUUUGAUUGUUACCGACAGAAUAAGCCCCCGGCUAACUGUGUGCCAUCAGCCGCGGUAAUACAGAGGGGUGCAAGCGGGAAUUGGAAUUUCUUGGCGUAAAGCCCGCGUAGGUGGUUCGUUAAGUUUGAUGUGAAAUCCCCGGGCUCAACCGGGGAAGUUCAUUCUAAAAUGACAAAUAGAGUGUGGUAGAGGGGGGAGGAAUUUCCUCUGUAGCGGUGAAAUGCGUAGAUAUAGGAAGGAACACCAGUGAGGAAGGCG